Molecule: ribosomal RNA, 603 nt
Filed under: Triticum aestivum (bread wheat)
Lineage: Eukaryota; Viridiplantae; Streptophyta; Magnoliopsida; Poales; Poaceae
Description: partial small subunit ribosomal RNA
Source: RNAcentral
AUGGAGGCAGAGAGUACACUUAGUAAGCCGCAACCCCCCAAGUGUCGGCGUCCUGGGAUUGGGGGUACCCAGACUUGCCUGCCUGCGGCCCACGGCGUGGCUCCAUCGACGGCCUGGUAUGGCCCAGCUUCAACACCAACAGCUCAAGACCCUCACGAGGGGCCAAGCCUCGCGAGGCAGACGACACCAAGACCUCCUCUUGGGACGGCCUUCCCCGGCUGGCUCCCAAGGAGCGGAGAUAUCUAUGCAAGGUGCACCUCGCGAGGAUCGGAUGACAUGAGCCGUGAUGACCAAGGCCAGGCGGGCGCCAGCGGGCGCAGUGUACCGGUUUCCUAUUUGGUGCUACGGAGGCAAGCGCAGGCGCGGAGUUCCGAGGAAUUAAGCAAAGGUUUUCAUUUUGGUGCAACAAGACCAAUACCGCCAGGACGGCAGAGGUUUACCAAAGAUACACUGGUUGAUGGAGGUCUGGGUGAUCUACAAGCUUAUGAGGAUUUGGAUGAUCUAAAAACUUCUGAAGGCUUGGAUGACCUACAAGCUACUGAAUGUUUGCAAGACCAACAAUUAAGUUGGUGGAGUGAUUAUGUAAUGUGCCUUGUUUGUUGA